CUGAACCAGCCAAGUAGCGUGAAGGAUGACUGCCCUAUGGGUUGUAAACUUCUUUUAUACGGGAAUAAAGUGGAGUAUGCAUACUCCUUUGUAUGUACCGUACGAAUAAGGAUCGGCUAACUCCGUGCCAGCAGCCGCGGUAAUACGGAGGAUCCGAGCGUUAUCCGGAUUUAUUGGGUUUAAAGGGAGCGUAGGCGGGUGCUUAAGUCAGUUGUGAAAGUUUGCGG
RNAcentral lists this ribosomal RNA (227 nucleotides) under uncultured Bacteroides sp. Its description in RNAcentral is "partial 16S ribosomal RNA". It matches the Rfam family "Bacterial small subunit ribosomal RNA", at positions 383 to 607 of the family's 1533-position model. Lineage: Bacteria; Pseudomonadati; Bacteroidota; Bacteroidia; Bacteroidales; Bacteroidaceae. The record is from RNAcentral.